RNAcentral lists this ribosomal RNA (455 nucleotides) under uncultured Leptolinea sp. RNAcentral's name for it is "bacterial SSU rRNA". It matches the Rfam family "Bacterial small subunit ribosomal RNA", at positions 920 to 1378 of the family's 1533-position model. The record is from RNAcentral. Lineage: Bacteria; Bacillati; Chloroflexota; Anaerolineae; Anaerolineales; Anaerolineaceae.
GACGGGCCCGCACAAGCAGCGGAGCGUGUGGUUUAAUUCGAUGUUACACGAAGAACCUUACCAGGGUUUGACAUGCAAGUGGUAGGAAACCGAAAGGUGACCGACCCUUCGGGGAGCUUGCACAGGUGCUGCAUGGCUGUCGUCAGCUCGUGUCGUGAGAUGUUCGGUUAAGUCCGCUAACGAGCGCAACCCUCGUCGUGUGUUAUACGUGUCACACGAUACUGCCGGUAUCAAGCCGGAGGAAGGUGGGGAUGAUGUCAAGUCAGCAUGGCCUUUAUAUCCUGGGCUACACACACGCUACAAUGGCAGAUACAAUAGGUUGCGAAACCGCGAGGUGGAGCCAAUCCUCAAAGUCUGUCUCAGUUCAGAUUGUAGGCUGCAACUCGCCUGCAUGAAGUUGGAGUUGCUAGUAAACGCAGGUCAGCUAUACUGCGUUGAAUACGUUCCCGGGGUUU